This 887-nucleotide ribosomal RNA is filed under the name uncultured Actinomycetes bacterium. RNAcentral's name for it is "bacterial SSU rRNA". It matches the Rfam family "Bacterial small subunit ribosomal RNA", at positions 624 to 1510 of the family's 1533-position model. Lineage: Bacteria; Bacillati; Actinomycetota; Actinomycetes. The record is from RNAcentral.
CAUUCGAUACGGGCAGACUAGAGUUCGGUAGGGGAGACUGGAAUUCCUGGUGUAGCGGUGAAAUGCGCAGAUAUCAGGAGGAACACCGGUGGCGAAGGCGGGUCUCUGGGCCGAUACUGACGCUGAGGAGCGAAAGCGUGGGGAGCGAACAGGAUUAGAUACCCUGGUAGUCCACGCCGUAAACGGUGGGCGCUAGGUGUGGGGGACUUUCCACGUCCUCUGUGCCGCAGCUAACGCAUUAAGCGCCCCGCCUGGGGAGUACGGCCGCAAGGCUAAAACUCAAAGGAAUUGACGGGGGCCCGCACAAGCGGCGGAGCAUGUGGCUUAAUUCGACGCAACGCGAAGAACCUUACCAAGGCUUGACAUGCAGGGAAAUCUCAUAGAGAUAUGGGGUCCGCAAGGGCUCUGCACAGGUGGUGCAUGGUUGUCGUCAGCUCGUGUCGUGAGAUGUUGGGUUAAGUCCCGCAACGAGCGCAACCCUCGUCCUAUGUUGCCAGCGAGUAAUGUCGGGGACUCAUAGGAGACUGCCGGGGUCAACUCGGAGGAAGGUGGGGAUGACGUCAAAUCAUCAUGCCCCUUAUGUCUUGGGCUGCACACAUGCUACAAUGGUCGGUACAAAGGGCUGCGAGACCGCAAGGUGGAGCGAAUCCCAAAAAGCCGGCCUCAGUUCGGAUUAGGGUCUGCAACUCGACCCUAUGAAGUCGGAGUCGCUAGUAAUCGCAGAUCAGCAACGCUGCGGUGAAUACGUUCCCGGGCCUUGUACACACCGCCCGUCACGUCACGAAAGUCGGUAACACCCGAAGCCAGUGGCCCAACCGCAAGGAGGGAGCUGUCGAAGGUGGGAUCGGCGAUUGGGACGAAGUCGUAACAAGGUACCAAUCCCGCGG